Molecule: ribosomal RNA, 465 nt
Filed under: uncultured bacterium
Lineage: Bacteria
Description: partial 16S ribosomal RNA
Rfam family: Bacterial small subunit ribosomal RNA
Source: RNAcentral
GAUGAACGCUGGCGGCGUGCUUAACACAUGCAAGUCGAACGGAAAGGCUCCUGCUUGCAGGGGUUCUCGAGUGGCGAACGGGUGAGUAACACGUGUGUGAUCUGCCCUGCACUUCGGGAUAAGCCUGGGAAACUGGGUCUAAUACCGGAUAGGACGAUGCGUUGGAUGCCAUUGUGGAGAGUUUUUCGGUGUGGGAUUAGCUCGCGGCCUAUCAGCUUGUUGGUGGGGUAAUUGCCUACCAAGGCGUCGACGGGUAGCCGGCCUGAGAGGGUGUACGGCCACAAUGCGACUGAGAUACGGCCCAGAAUGCUACGGGAGGCAGUAGUGGGAAACAUUACAGAGUAGGGGCAAGCCUGAUGCAGCGACGCCGCGUGGGGGAUGCUGGCCUUCGGGUUGUAAACUCCUUUCGAUAGGGACGAAGCGCAAGUGACGGUACCUGGAGAAGAAGCACCGGCUAACUACGUG